UGAGGAAUAUUGGGCAAUGCCCGCAAGGGUGACCCAGCAACGCCGCGUGGAGGAUGAAUGUCGUAAGAUUGUAAACUCCUGUUAGAGGGGAAGAAUAGUACCGGUUGGACCGGUAUAUGACUGUACCCUCAGAGAAAGCCCCGGCUAACUACGUGCCAGCAGCCGCGGUGAUACGUAGGGGGCAAGCGUUGUCCGGAUUUACUGGGUGUAAAGGGCGCGCAGGCGGGAUAAAAAGUCAGUGGUGAAAUCCUACAGCUUAACUGUAGAACUGCCUUUGAUACUUUUAUUCUUGAGUUCGGGAGAGAGAGACGGAAUUCCAGGUGUAGUGGUGAAAUACGUAGAUAUCUGGAAGAACACCAGUUGCGAAGGCGGUCUCUUGGUCCGAUACUGACGCUGAGGCGCGAAAGCGUGGGGAGCAAACA
This 422-nucleotide ribosomal RNA is filed under the name uncultured bacterium. RNAcentral describes it as "bacterial SSU rRNA". It matches the Rfam family "Bacterial small subunit ribosomal RNA", at positions 355 to 774 of the family's 1533-position model. The record is from RNAcentral.